AGUAAAUUUUUUCCCAACUCUGAAUGAUUUGAACUAAUGAUUAGUUCCUGGAACGCAUGCUGGGCAGUUUUGAUGGGGCUUGACUGGAACUCUAACUGUUGGCAAAUAACCUCUCCAGAGCUGAAAGGUGUGGGGCUGGAGGAGGUUAUUUCUAAAAUCCUUCCACCACCAGUGUCACAUCUAGCAUGUCAGGGAAACGCAAGAUAAUGCUUGAGUGAGUGAAUGAGUGAAUGCCUACGUAUACAUUUCAGUGCUUGAAGGGAGGAUGGAGAUCAUUUUCUUUUAGUCGUCAGUUUGUCAGUGAGAAGGCUGAGACCCAAAUAAGUAGAGUGACUUAUUCAAGAUCACAUAAUUAGGGGUAGAGCUGGUUUAAAAAGCCAAGAUUCCUGAACAUAUUGUGCAAUCUUAACUUGAAAGAGAACCCAGAGAAAUGGGAGAAAAACUGGAGAAAACCUCAAAAGCUCACGCAGCUGCUAACUGAGAGUCAAGGUCUCCAAUGUUCAAUGUCAUUUUCCCUUCUCUGACUGCACAUCUGAUCCAAAGUGUUGCAGAUAAUUGCUUUUUGUUAAGGAAAGAACAUCCCCUUCUAGUUUAGGAGCAAUGGUGAUUCCAGUAAGGAAGAUCAUGGAAAAUAACUGUUUUAAAACCAUAAUUCUUAGGGAAACCAGAAAUUUUUAAGAGACCUCAAAUAGCUUGCACUGUUUAACCUUACCUAGGCUCAGUCUGCUUCCUGGUCAGGUAUGCAUAGUAAUACCUCGCAAAGCAUGGCGAGCUUUAAAUAACAUAAAGAACGUGACAGUGGCUUGCACACAACCUGGCAUAUGGGUGGCGUUCAGCAAAUACUUGUUGCAAGAAAAGGAGGAUAUCAUUGAUGAAACACACUCUCCAGCCCUAUCAACAGCCCACUUGACUCUGCUGGGAAGACUUGCUGGUGCCGUAUACACUUUGUUUGCAACGUGACCUGGAGAAUAACCUCGGGGGAGGAGGUAGCCAUUAGGAUGGAGCAAUUUAUAGCAAACACGUGCUGCUGUUUUGCUGCGGCACCCCAGGUUGCAGUUAGUCAGAAAUGGCUUCCCAUGUUUACUGGAAACGUCGAGACGUGUCUCAGUGACACUAAUGCUGCAAAUGCAGGUUUCAGUCUCAUACACGGGGACACAGGUCACUUGGCACACAGGCAGUCACUGCUCACCCAUGUAGAGCAAUAGGAAGAAUCCUGUACCAGGAAUCGGAGCACUGGGUUCUAGAGGUGGCCCCUUACAAGCUUUGUAAUCUCACGGCUUUACCUCUCUGAACCUCAGAAUCCUCUUCUGUGAAACAAGGGGGUUGAAUACAUGAUUUCUGACCCCUUCCCGCUUGAAAACACCAUGAUCUGUUUAGUUAUUGCACUCACAGCUUUGCAAGUAUUGCUGCUCAGUGAAAAUGUAAGUGCCAUACAUGUGUACCAUCACACACACACACACACACACACACACACACACACCCUUCUAGACCCAGAUUCUCCACUCAGGGAAAUAGCAUGAAAGAAAACCUGAUGCCCCAGUGAAUAGCCAUUUUACUCACCACCUUUAGAAUGACAUAGCCCAGCUGCUUCUGGGCUAGAACCUCAUCCUCCUUGUGACUCGAUGCUUCUGCUGCCAAAUGAGGUGGAGAACUGUCACAGUGCGUCCUUGGAUGAUGGACCGCAGAUGGAACACCCAGCAGGAAGUAACUCCUCCACCGAGGAUGGCAUUCAUCUCUACCACCUGCAUGGUUUUUGCUAUAACUAUGGAGUCUCAUUCUGUUGCCCAGGCUGGAGUGCAAUGGCGCGAUCUCAGCUCACUGCAAUCUCUGCCUCCUGAGUUUAAGCAAUUCUCCUGCCUCAGCCUCCUGAAUAGCUGGGAUUACAGGCUUGCACCACCAUGCCUGGCUUGUAUGUGGUGAUGAAUAUUUACCUUAUUUGAAGCUGCUGUUGUCAAAAGUUAUCUGGAACAGGUAAUGUGAGGCCUUCAGAGAUCUCUCUUUGAAAAUGAGAACAGAAACGACACACACUGGGGCCUAUAGGAGGGAGGAGGGUGGGAGGAGGGAGAAGAUCAGGAAAAAUAACUAAUGGGUACUGGCCUUAAUACCUGGGUGACAACAUCAUCUGCACAAUGAACCCCCAUGAUACAAAUUUAUUACCUAUGUAACAAACCUGCACAUAUACCCCUGAACUUAAAAUAAAAGUUAGAAAAAUGAAAAAAAAAA
Long non-coding RNA from Pan troglodytes (chimpanzee), 2223 nucleotides. RefSeq lists it as uncharacterized. The record is from RefSeq and is a predicted model, not a curated record. The transcript is spliced from 4 exons. Lineage: Eukaryota; Metazoa; Chordata; Mammalia; Primates; Hominidae.